This 460-nucleotide ribosomal RNA is filed under the name uncultured bacterium. RNAcentral's name for it is "partial 16S ribosomal RNA". It matches the Rfam family "Bacterial small subunit ribosomal RNA", at positions 338 to 795 of the family's 1533-position model. The record is from RNAcentral.
CCUACGGGAUGCAGCAGUGAGGAAUAUUGGUCAAUGGACGAGAGUCUGAACCAGCCAAGUAGCGUGAAGGAUGACUGCCCUAUGGGUUGUAAACUUCUUUUAUAAAGGAAUAAAACGAGGCACGUGUGCCUUUUUGCAUGUACUUUAUGAAUAAGGAUCGGCUAACUCCGUGCCAGCAGCCGCGGUAAUACGGAGGAUCCGAGCGUUAUCCGGAUUUAUUGGGUUUAAAGGGAGCGUAGAUGGGUUGUUAAGUCAGUUGCGAAAGUUUGCGGCUCAACCGUAAAAUUGCAAUUGAUACUGGCAGUCUUGAGUACAGUUGAGGUAGGCGGAAUUCGUGGUGUAGAGGUGAAAUGCUUAGAUAUCGCGAAGAACCCCGAUUGCGAAGGCAGCUUACUAAACUGUGACUGACAUUGAUGCUCGAAAGUGUGGGUAUCAAACAGGAUUAGAUACCCUAGUAGUC